This 253-nucleotide ribosomal RNA is filed under the name uncultured bacterium. RNAcentral describes it as "partial 16S ribosomal RNA". It matches the Rfam family "Bacterial small subunit ribosomal RNA", at positions 524 to 776 of the family's 1533-position model. The record is from RNAcentral.
UACGAAGGUGGCAAGCGUUGUUCGGAUUUACUGGGCGUACAGGGAGCGUAGGCGGUUGGAUACGCCCUCCGUGAAAUCUCCAGGCUUAACCUGGAAAGUGCAGAGGGGACUGUUCAGCUAGAGGAUGGGAGAGGAGCGCGGAAUUCCCGGUGUAGCGGUGAAAUGCGUAGAGAUCGGGAGGAAGGCCGGUGGCGAAGGCGGCGCUCUGGAACAUUUCUGACGCUGAGGCUCGAAAGCGUGGGGAGCAAACAGG